RNAcentral lists this ribosomal RNA (464 nucleotides) under uncultured bacterium. RNAcentral's name for it is "partial 16S ribosomal RNA". It matches the Rfam family "Bacterial small subunit ribosomal RNA", at positions 28 to 506 of the family's 1533-position model. The record is from RNAcentral.
GACGAACGCUGGCGGCGUGCUUAACACAUGCAAGUCGAACGGAAAGUCCCCUUUGGGUGUACUCGAGUGGCGAACGGGUUAGUAACACGUGAGUAACCUGCCCUUGACUUCGGGAUAACUUCAGGAAACUGGGGCUAAUACCGGAUAGGAAUCCUUUCUGCAUGUUGGGGGUUGGAAAGCUUCGGCGGUUUUGGAUGGACUCGCGGCUUAUCAGCUUGUUGGUUGGGUAGUGGCUUACCAAGGCUUUGACGGGUAGCCGGCCUGAGAGGGCGACCGGACAAAUUGGGCCUGAGAUACGGCACAGACUCCUACGGGAGGCAGCAGUGGGGAAUAUUGCACAAUGGGAGGAAGCCUGAUGCAGCAACGCCGCGUGCGGGAUAACGGCCAUCGGGUUGUAAACCGCUUUCAGCAGGGGCGAAGCUUGUGGUGACGGUACCUGCAGAAGAAGCACCGGCUAACUACGU